This is a long non-coding RNA of Portunus trituberculatus (swimming crab), 1327 nucleotides long. RefSeq lists it as uncharacterized. The record is from RefSeq and is a predicted model, not a curated record. NCBI's taxonomy places the organism in Eukaryota, Metazoa, Arthropoda, Malacostraca, Decapoda, Portunidae. The transcript has 6 exons.
CGAUCUAUUCUGUUACUGAGAUAUGUUCCUCUCAACGCUUACCGCCACAUAUCCUCGGCCAGUAGGAGUGUCUGUGUGUAACAAUUACGUGACGCAACCUGUGUAAUUAUUUUUUUCUGUGUAUGAAAUAACUACAAGGACUCGUUCACUCAACGUGUCGCUUAGCAAACCUUCUAUGACUGACCUGUGCAUUAAACAGUCAAGUGAGCCAUCACCCAGCCGACGCCUCGCUAGUGCCCGAGAUGCCACUCCCCGCACCGCAAUAGACGCGCGACCCGUGCCACCAUAACUCAGCUUAACUCGAACAGCACAGCGGCAUGGCAAGGCUUUGAAUCAUACCUCACAACUCUGGCCGUGUGUUAUGUGUGAGUUGGCUACGUCCAGGAGGGAGGAGGGAGGAGAAGGAAGAGGGUAGAGGUAGUGGUGCGUCCCCUCCACCAUUAUGACUCAUUACAAAGUUACUGAGCUGACGUAGAUCCCUCCAGUCUUGCAGUCAUCGGUGCUGUCUUUGGUUUGUCAGUCACGGAAGGAAGGAAGGAAGGAAGGAAGAGGGGGAGAAGCUGCCGGAGUGACCCUACGAGGGGGCAAGGAAGUUUGUCUCUUUCCCUCCACUGCAGAUGACCUCAGAUGUCUAUAGGUCUAAGGCCCCAAAAAUCAACGGAGCAACACGUAGAACCAUUGUGUGCGGCGACGCAGCUGCCGGAAGAACAUGGAAGGUUUACAACGGGCUUCCCUGCGUAUCCACUCCAUAGAACCAUUGUGUGCGGCGACGGAGCUGCCGGAAGAACAUAGAAGCAUUGUGUGCGGCGACGCAGCUGCCGGAAGAACAUGGAAGGUUUACAACGGGCAUCCCUGUGUAUCCACGGCGGCAAGACAGGAAGUGUCGGAAUGAGAGUUAACCCUUAGCACUUCGUAAUGCUACCUCAUCCAAACAGGACGGAAUGGAGAAGUGGAAAGGAGUGAGGCAUCAGGUCUCUCACGUCCCCUCUACAGUGUGAAAGUAAUACCACUACGGAAGGGAGAACCAGACCAGCGUGUCCUGCCAGCUAUCUGCAUCGCUGCUGGGAGGGAAGAACAUAAAAUCAAGUAACCUAAGAAAAUGGAGUUGAGGCUCAAGAGGCCACUUUUACCAUGUGGCCGCCCUUGUCCUCUGCCUUGCUUCAGACCUGCAUCACACCUCUAGUCGUCGUUCGAAAACCUGCUGCCAUCUAGGGGAGAGGGAAGGAAGGAAGCCUCGCCGGUCACGCAUACAUGUCUUGUACUACCUCUGUGAAUGUGCUGACUUUGUAAAUACAUUAUGAAAUGAUUUAAUAAAUUACGAAACUGU